UCCUAUAAUUUACACGACGCAUAAUUCGGCCCGUCGCAAUAUUGUAGGGAAAUCUGCUACAAUCUGAAUCUCUUGCAAUUCCUACAAUUUACACUACGAAUAAUUAUGUCCGUCACAAUAUUGCAAGGGCAUCCGCAACAAAUUGAAUCUCUUGCAAUGUUUAGGUAUUUAUUCCCAUAAACAAGAUUACAAUUCCGCGCAAACACACAUCACGAAAACACACCCAAACACAUCCAUUGCACCGGCGACAUCUAUUCCGGCCGUUUGGGAAGUUUUAUCACCGCUGACGGAGCUGAAUUUGGCGGCAGCUGAGGAUUGAGUUGGUGGCAGCUUGACUCCCCCAUCAGAGUUGGCAAUAUCCAAGAUGAUACAUUGAAAAGGGCUGUUGUAGCUUACAGGGGAAAGUGUUGGAAGAAAAUAGGUGAAAAGACUACAAAGAGCUUGUCUCAAAAACCCUGUUAAGGUACACUUGAAAUGACUUCAAGAGGUUGUCUAGAAGUUGAUUUUGAAACGAUAGCUGGAUAUCUCAUUUAAGUUGCUCGUAUUGAUAGCUCUAUACAAUAAGAACAUGGAAACAACCAAAAGGAUUUAUUAAAGGACUUGAGAACAACAAAGAAAUCAUUGAACUUUGGAACUGGGUAGGAAGCUUUGUCGCAAUUUACCAUGACGGGAUUUGAUUGAUGAUUUAUUAUUAUAUGUUUUUUAAUUACCAGUUUAGUUGUUUUGUAUGAUAUUUUGGUAAAUGGAACUAGAUUUUAUAAAUUUAUAUAACAUGUGCU
This is a long non-coding RNA of Andrographis paniculata, 779 nucleotides long. RefSeq lists it as uncharacterized. NCBI's taxonomy places the organism in Eukaryota, Viridiplantae, Streptophyta, Magnoliopsida, Lamiales, Acanthaceae. The record is from RefSeq and is a predicted model, not a curated record. The transcript has 5 exons.